GCCGGGGUAGCUCAGCGGUUAGAGCAAUCGCUUCAUAAGCGAUGGGUCGCCGGUUCAAGUCCGGCCCUCGGUA
Fimbriiglobus ruber is the source of this 73-nucleotide transfer RNA. It matches the Rfam family "tRNA". Rfam says of the family: Transfer RNA (tRNA) molecules are approximately 80 nucleotides in length. Their secondary structure includes four short double-helical elements and three loops (D, anti-codon, and T loops). Further hydrogen bonds mediate the characteristic L-shaped molecular structure. tRNAs have two regions of fundamental functional importance: the anti-codon, which is responsible for specific mRNA codon recognition, and the 3' end, to which the tRNAs corresponding amino acid is attached (by aminoacyl-tRNA synthetases). tRNAs cope with the degeneracy of the genetic code in two manners: having more than one tRNA (with a specific anti-codon) for a particular amino acid; and 'wobble' base-pairing, i.e. permitting non-standard base-pairing at the 3rd anti-codon position. The record is from Rfam. Lineage: Bacteria; Pseudomonadati; Planctomycetota; Planctomycetia; Gemmatales; Gemmataceae.